CCCUUAGACGUUCUGGGCCGCACGCGCGCUACACUGACGAAGGCAACGAGCUUUCCUUUACCGAAAGGUACGGGUAAUCUUUUGAAACUUCGUCGUGCUGGGGAUAGAUCCUUGCAAUUUUUGAUCUUAAACGAGGAAUGCCUAGUAAGCGCAAGUCAUCAACUUGCGUUGAUUACGUCCCUGCCCUUUGUACACACCGCCCGUCGCUACUACCGAUUGAAUGGUUUAGUGAGGGCCUCGGAUUGGUCUCGGCCCGCUCUUUACCGGGCGGCGCCGUUGGUCGAGAAGACGCUCGAACUUGAUCGUUUAGAGGAAGUAAAAGUCGUAACA
Molecule: ribosomal RNA, 330 nt
Filed under: uncultured eukaryote
Lineage: Eukaryota
Description: partial 18S ribosomal RNA
Rfam family: Eukaryotic small subunit ribosomal RNA
Source: RNAcentral